CCUCCAGCCAAUUCCCUGGGCCUGGAGAGGAAGCACAGCCAGGUACAGUGGGUCAGGGAAGAGGAAGAAAAGGGUCCCGACCGUGGCGGGGCGUCCGGCGGAGGAAUCCUGCGUGGUGCUGACGCGCAGGGACUGACGCAUGGUCACUUCCUGCGAGGUGCUGCGGCCCUGCAGCCUCAGUCAGCAAAGAAGCAGCAGAGGAAGAGGACGCACUGCUGUGCUCUCUGUGGGGAGUAGUUCUCCGGCCCGAAGAUGCGCUGCUGGCCCUUGAGUGGACGUGAAGAGCUCGUGGACUCCAGCUGACCCUCGACCCACCUGCUGUCCACCUGCACCCGACCAGAGGAGGGCCUCGUGGUGGCCGCCAUGUUGGACCCACAUGGGUGCCUGAGGUGCAAGAGGUGGAGUUGGUGUCGCCCCAGAGUGCCUGGACUUUGAGCCUUGCUGAGUGUUCACAGACCGACUGGGCUUCACCAGCACCAUGGGAACUCUGAGGGGAAACGGACAUCUACAAGGCCUGUGUAAAGAGCAUUUCAGAAUACACACAGAGACAGGCAACAAGUGGACACAUCUCUAAGGGCCCAGUGCAGCGAGAAGCACCCGGCCCCGUCCGGCCAUGCAGAACAUCCCUGGGCGAGGAGAGGCAGCACAGCCGGGCACCCUGGGGUCUGGGAGGAGGAAGAAAAGGGUCCUGGAUGGCGGAGGAA
Long non-coding RNA from Ochotona curzoniae (black-lipped pika), 704 nucleotides. RefSeq lists it as uncharacterized. The record is from RefSeq and is a predicted model, not a curated record. The transcript has 3 exons. NCBI's taxonomy places the organism in Eukaryota, Metazoa, Chordata, Mammalia, Lagomorpha, Ochotonidae.